GUACACGCUGUGACUAGCAUAUCAAUAAGCGGAGGAAAAGAAACUAACAAGGAUUCCCCUAGUAACGGCGAGUGAAGCGGGAAGAGCUCAAAUUUGAAAUCUUAAAGGGUUUCCCUUUACGAAUUGUAGUUUAAAGAAGUGUUUUCUGUUGAGGUUUUGGUAAAAGUUCUUUGGAAUAGGACAUCAUAGAGGGUGAGAAUCCCGUAUUUGACCUUUACUUUCAACUUUGUGAUACACUUUCAAAGAGUCGGAUUGUUUGGGAAUGCAGUCCAAAAUGGGUGGUAAAUUUCAUCUAAAGCUAAAUAUUGGCGAGAGACCGAUAGCGAACAGGUACCGUGAGGGAAAGAUGAAAAGAACUUUGAAAGAGAGUUAAACAGUACGUGAAAUUGUCAAAAGGGAAGCGUUUGACACCAGUGUUGUUUUUCUGAAAAUCAAUUAAAGAACUGUUUAUGCUAAGCUGUUUAGACUUUAUCAGCUAUCUGUUUAGUUUUGAGCUUUUCUUUAAUGCACUUUUCAGUUAACAAGUCAACAUCAAUUUCUUUUGCUGUAAAAAAGCUUGAGGAAGGUGGCUUGAGAUUCGUCUUAAGUGUUUAUAGCCUCUUGCCUAUGCAGUCGGAGAGAUUGAGGUCUGCAGCGUAGAUCCUUCGGGGCUAAAUGCAUUUGCUGCUAAGUUAUAGCAUUUUAUAGACAACUUGUUGACUAUGAUUUGUCUUGUAGCUUACUCGCUUAUGUUAUUUUACCUACGCUUAGGAUGUUGAAGUCAUCGUAUCGCGC
RNAcentral lists this ribosomal RNA (774 nucleotides) under uncultured Neocallimastigales. Its description in RNAcentral is "partial large subunit ribosomal RNA". It matches the Rfam family "Eukaryotic large subunit ribosomal RNA", at positions 22 to 645 of the family's 3401-position model. Lineage: Eukaryota; Fungi; Neocallimastigomycota; Neocallimastigomycetes; Neocallimastigales. The record is from RNAcentral.